RNAcentral lists this ribosomal RNA (397 nucleotides) under uncultured bacterium. RNAcentral describes it as "partial 16S ribosomal RNA". It matches the Rfam family "Bacterial small subunit ribosomal RNA", at positions 523 to 918 of the family's 1533-position model. The record is from RNAcentral.
AUACGUAGGUGGCAAGCGUUGUCCGGAAUUAUUGGGCGUAAAGCGCGCGCAGGUGGUUCCUUAAGUCUGAUGUGAAAGCCCCCGGCUCCACCGGGGAGGGUCAUUGGAAACUGGGGAACUUGAGUGCAGAAGAGGAUAGUGGAAUUCCAAGUGUAGCGGUGAAAUGCGUAGAGAUUUGGAGGAACACCAGUGGCGAAGGCGACUGUCUGGUCUGUAACUGACACUGAGGCGCGAAAGCGUGGGGAGCAAACAGGAUUAGAUACCCUGGUAGUCCACGCCGUAAACGAUGAGUGCUAAGUGUUGGGGGGUUUCCGCCCCUCAGUGCUGCAGCUAACGCAUUAAGCACUCCGCCUGGGGAGUACGGUCGCAAGACUGAAACUCAAAUGAAUUGACGGGG